GCGCGCGUCGGCGUCGCCCUCCUCCCAUUGAGCGAGGCUGUGUCGCGUGGCCCAGCGUCGGCGUGACGGUUGGACGCGGGCGCGGCACUGCGGGUCCCGAUUGCUGCAGCCGCUUGUCAGUGUGAUGAAGAUUGGCACCCAGGCCACAGAACCUGCUCUGAUCCAACUGCUGAGUCUGGGACAUGUGGCUCUGCUCGGCCAGUUGCUCAGACGCCAUUUGCUUUUGACACAAGAUGAUUUGAUGCUUUCCUAUGAGACCCAUGAACCAUGAUGGCUACACAGACACUAAGCAUAGACAGCUACCAAGACGGGCAACAAAUGCAAGUAGUAACAGAGUUAAAAACGGAGCAAGAUCCCAACUGCUCUGAACCGGAUGUGGAAGGAGUGAGCCCUCCCCCGGCGGGCUCCCAGACGCCAAUGGACGCAGACAAGCAGGCCAUUUAUAGGCAUCCACUAUUUCCACUACUAGCUUUGUUGUUCGAAAAAUGCGAACAGUCUACCCAGGGCUCAGAAGGCACGACCUCUGCCAGUUUUGAUGUAGAUAUUGAAAAUUUUGUAAGAAAGCAAGAGAAAGAAGGAAAACCCUUCUUUUGCGAAGACCCGGAAACCGACAAUUUAAUGGUGAAAGCAAUCCAGGUUUUGCGCAUUCAUCUUCUUGAGCUGGAAAAGGUUAACGAGCUCUGCAAAGACUUCUGCAGUCGCUAUAUUGCUUGUCUAAAGACGAAAAUGAACAGUGAGACCCUCCUGAGCGGGGAGCCUGGAAGCCCGUACUCCCCCGUCCAGUCCCAGCAGAUUCAGAGUGCCAUCUCAGGCACCCUCAGCCCCCAAGGAAUCGUGGUGCCCGCAUCCGCGCUGCAGCAGGGGAACGUCACCAUGGCGACAGUGGCAGGUGGCACGGUGUAUCAGCCUGUCACGGUUGUCACUCCUCAAGGCCAGGUGGUGACACAAGCCCUGUCGCCCGGCACCAUCAGGAUCCAGAACUCCCAGCUCCAGUUACAGUUAAACCAAGAUCUCAGCAUCUUGCAUCAAGAUGACGGCUCAGCUAAGAACAAAAGGGGCGUUUUGCCGAAGCAUGCCACCAAUGUGAUGAGAUCUUGGCUCUUUCAGCACAUAGGGCAUCCCUACCCAACAGAAGAUGAGAAAAAACAGAUCGCUGCUCAGACAAAUUUGACACUACUCCAAGUUAACAACUGGUUCAUCAACGCCAGAAGACGGAUUCUUCAGCCCAUGUUGGAUUCUAGUUGCUCAGAAACUCCAAAAACCAAGAAGAAGACAGCUCAGAACAGACCGGUCCAGAGGUUUUGGCCCGACUCCAUUGCUUCGGGAGCUGCACAGCCGCCGCCCAGCGAGCUGGCCAUGUCAGAAGGAGCCGUCGUGACGAUCACCACGCCCGUGAGCAUGAACGUGGACAGCCUGCAGUCUCUGUCCUCGGACGGCGCCACCCUGGCGGUACAGCAGGUCAUGAUGGCGGAGCAGAGCGAGGACGAGUCUGUGGACAGCACGGGGGACAGCGGGGCCGCGCUCGCCCCCACCCACAUCAGCGGGCUGGUCCUGGAGAACAGUGACUCCCUGCAGUAGGGCCGGCACAGCCCAGAACCGCGGGGCGGGCCUGACUUUUUACAGUUUGCACAGCAAACAUUUUACACACUUUUAUUUCUGACAUGUUUUAUACGUAGAUGGAGAAGAAUGCACUUUUGUAUUUCAUAGUGAGCUUCGAGAGCGCCCUCGCGGGCGCGGCGACUUUCCGGUGUGCGUGUGUGUGCGUGUGUGCGUGCGCGGGUUUUUAAGGAGAUUCUUUAAAGGUUUAACGCUAAAAAUGUGAUGAAUGACAGACACCCCCGUGAGCCCCUAAUUAGUUAAAGAAUAGUGCUGCCAUUUUCUAGAAAAUGAUGCAGUUUUAAUUUCGUUCUGUGGUUGAAGCAGGUCCCAGUGGGCUGGUUUAUUUGUGUCGCCCACGAUUGGAGAGAAGCUUCUGCACCUUAAAACUGCCAGUGCAAGGUAGACGCCCACGGCAGCAAAGUGCGUGUGGCCCGUGGUGAGCAUGCUCUGGUGGACAUACGCCGAGGUCCCCACGGACUUGGGGACGCCCAGUGUUCGUGUUUCUAAAAGGUGGUUUGGUGUUUGGGAAGGUCACCAGUUCUGGAGAUUCAGCAGCCAUCAUCAGUUACGGACCAAGGUUACAUUGCAGGAUAUCUGGAGCUGGGGCAGAUUUUUUCUGGAACUGAUUCCCCUCCCCCCCCAAAAUUGGUUAAUUACAGUUAAUCACAGAAGACUUAUUUCCUAGGUAACUUAGGAGGCGGUAAGAAAUACAUAGAAUUUUCUUUGAAAAAUACUUCAGGAGCUUUAAAAGAAAAAGUGGACUAAACUCUUUUGGAGCGAGAACAACAUUUUUAAGCAACAGUUGCGUUCCUUAUUUAUAAACAAUUUGUAAUAUUUUCGGUUUCGUAGAUCAUUUUAACUUGACCUAAAUCCUAACUUGGUUGGACUUCUUGAAACUAGGAGCUGUGGACACCAGCCAGCCACCUCCCUCCCUCCCCAGUCCCUCCAGUCGCCCCGCUCUUUGGGUGCGUGUGGACUCACAGGCAGGUCACUGCCCCCCCCCCCCCCCCCCCCGCCCCAGGGGUCACGUUCACUGAGCUGUGGUAGCCUGUUAGUCGAGGGCUGCACAGACUGCCCGUUUGGAGACAGACGGGGGCCGUGCGGGGUCCUGCUGCCCUCGCUGGCUUGAGAUCGGCCUUCCGUGCCCGGUGACGCUCCGCGCCCCCUGCGGCCGAGGCCGGUUUCCUUAGGCUCGAAGUUCUUACCGGGUUCGGAGGACUAGGAUAAGCCGUCCAGAGACGGGGCGCUCGUGGAGAGGCCUCAGCUUCCCCCCCACUCUCCCCGCGAAUAACCGAGGUGCUCGGGGACAACCUUGGCGUGGCAAGCCGUUUCGGCUCAUAAAACCGCUGCCCGGCGUGCCUGUCGUCGGUUUGCAUUUUAUAAACCCCCAUCUUCCGGCCCUCGGACCUUCAAGAGAACCUCUGAAAAUGGGACUCCCUCGAGCGUUCAUUUUCACGGAGCAGAUGCGAUCCUGACUUUGCGCCAGAAGGACGCUCCGGAUGUGUCCCCAGACCCAGAGUAAGAACGUCGUUACCCUCCCG
Molecule: RNA transcript, 3140 nt
Organism: Acinonyx jubatus (cheetah)
Lineage: Eukaryota; Metazoa; Chordata; Mammalia; Carnivora; Felidae
Gene: PKNOX1
Gene name: PBX/knotted 1 homeobox 1
Exons: 13
Source: RefSeq, a predicted model, not a curated record